AAAAAUCACUCGAGAUGAGCGAGAAAGGACGAGCUAUUCCUCGUAUGCUUCAAAGAAGUCCUUCCUAAAGGAUUGUUCUCGAAGAAAUGGACGAGAAGCUUAUGAAAAUAUUUUCUCUUUCUUUGAGCCAAAUGAUUAUCUCUUUGAUUCUUUCGUGACAUCCGCACAUUGUAGUGAAAAAGAAAAAAAAAUCAAAAUAGUGAGAGAAAAAGAAAAUGAAGAAAAGAAAAUUGAAAAAGAAAUUGAGAUUGAGAAAAAAAUUGAAAAAGAAAAAGAUGUUGAAGAAGAAACGAGAGAAAAUGAAGAUAGUGAGCGAGAACAAGAAAAGGAGAACGAAAUUUUAACUAAUCCCCGUGAUGUUUGUUUUUGUCCUGUUCCUUCUUUUCAAGUUCCGACAAAUCUCUGUGACGAAUAUCA
Molecule: long non-coding RNA, 417 nt
Filed under: Gossypium raimondii (Peruvian cotton)
Lineage: Eukaryota; Viridiplantae; Streptophyta; Magnoliopsida; Malvales; Malvaceae
Description: long non-coding RNA (GRAI_LNC011086)
Source: RNAcentral